ACGAUGACAAAUUCGAAGAGAAAAUCAAGAACGUCCAUUAAAACUUCAAGCUUUCAAACUCUUCUUGCUUCAAUUUCCUUCUUCUUCUUCCAAUCGGUUGUUGUCUGCAGGAAAAUUUGCACGUCGUUGAAUCUGUGUGGUGUUGAGGCUUGUGUGAGAUUGAUGCGAAUGAGUAGAGAGAAUUGUGAGGUUUGGCUUAGAAUGGCUUGAGGAAAAUCUCAUGAAGGUCCUGGUAUGAAACAAGGCAUGGGUCAAGUCAUGGUAUAGUGAAGAAUUUUGAAUACAUGUAUGCACAAAGAAGGAAUGAAGAAGGAAAAAGGGAACUAGGUCUUAGGAUUAGACAUUUGACCGAAAGUCAAUCCUAGGACAAGAACAUGUAAAAUUGUGCACUUGUAAUCUGGGUUUUUGUGAUGUAUUUUUACAUUUAGCAAUGAAUACAACUUCUUGAAAUGAA
This is a long non-coding RNA of Lathyrus oleraceus (garden pea), 454 nucleotides long. RefSeq lists it as uncharacterized. The record is from RefSeq and is a predicted model, not a curated record. The transcript is spliced from 2 exons. Lineage: Eukaryota; Viridiplantae; Streptophyta; Magnoliopsida; Fabales; Fabaceae.